RNAcentral lists this ribosomal RNA (885 nucleotides) under Agaricus nigrogracilis. RNAcentral describes it as "eukaryotic LSU rRNA". It matches the Rfam family "Eukaryotic large subunit ribosomal RNA", at positions 64 to 937 of the family's 3401-position model. Lineage: Eukaryota; Fungi; Basidiomycota; Agaricomycetes; Agaricales; Agaricaceae. The record is from RNAcentral.
ACUAACAGGAUUCCCCUAGUAACUGCGAGUGAAGCGGGAAAAGCUCAAAUUUAAAAUCUGGUGGUCUUUGGCCGUCCGAGUUGUAAUCUAGAGAAGUAAUGCCCGUGCUGGACCGUGUAUAAGUCUCCUGGGAUGGGGCGUCAUAGAGGGUGAGAAUCCCGUCUUUGACACGGACUACCAGUGCAUUGUGGUAUGCUCUCAAAGAGUCGAGUUGUUUGGGAAUGCAGCUCAAAAUGGGUGGUAAAUUCCAUCUAAAGCUAAAUAUUGGCGAGAGACCGAUAGCGAACAAGUACCGUGAGGGAAAGAUGAAAAGAACUUUGGAAAGAGAGUUAAACAGUACGUGAAAUUGCUGAAAGGGAAACGCUUGAAGUCAGUCGCGUUGGCCAGGGAUCAGCCUUGCUUUUGCAUGGUGUACUUUCUGGUUGACGGGUCAGCAUCAAUUUUGACCGCUGGAAAAGGGCCUGGGGAAUGUGGCAGCUUCGGCUGUGUUAUAGCCCCUGGUCGUAUACGGCGGUUGGGAUUGAGGAACUCAGCACGCCGCAAGGCCGGGUUUUGACCACGUUCGUGCUUAGGAUGCUGGCAUAAUGGCUUUAAGCGACCCGUCUUGAAACACGGACCAAGGAGUCUAACAUGCCUGCGAGUAUUUGGGUGGAAAACCCGAAUGCGUAAUGAAAGUGAAAGUUGAGAUCCCUGUCGUGGGGAGCAUCGACGCCCGGACCAGAACUUUUGGGACGGAUCCGCGGUGGAGCAUGUAUGUUGGGACCCGAAAGAUGGUGAACUAUGCCUGAAUAGGGUGAAGCCAGAGGAAACUCUGGUGGAGGCUCGUAGCGAUUCUGACGUGCAAAUCGAUCGUCAAAUUUGGGUAUAGGGGCGAAAGACUAAUCG